CAAGUCGAACGAUGAAGUUCCUUCGGGAAUGGAUUAGUGGCGAACGGGUGAGGAACACGUGAGAAACCUGCCUUUCAUUCUGGGAUAACACCGGGAAACCGGUGCUAAUACCGGAUACUCCAUCUUGGCGGCAUCGCCGAGCUGGGAAAAAUUUUGAUGAAAGAUGGUCUCGCGGCCUAUCAGCUAGUUGGUGAGGUAAAGGCUCACCAAGGCGACGACGGGUAGCCGGCCUGAGAGGGCGACCAGCCACACUGGAACUGAGACACGGUCCAGACUCC
This 278-nucleotide ribosomal RNA is filed under the name uncultured bacterium. RNAcentral describes it as "partial 16S ribosomal RNA". It matches the Rfam family "Bacterial small subunit ribosomal RNA", at positions 58 to 339 of the family's 1533-position model. The record is from RNAcentral.